GGGUCCUGGAGUAUAUAUUACGUUGAAUUGCAAAUUCGAAAAAGCAGCUUAAAUGUUGCCGGGGCUU
Molecule: transfer RNA, 67 nt
Filed under: Myoictis wavicus
Lineage: Eukaryota; Metazoa; Chordata; Mammalia; Dasyuromorphia; Dasyuridae
Description: tRNA-Cys
Source: RNAcentral